Molecule: long non-coding RNA, 1407 nt
Filed under: Junco hyemalis (dark-eyed junco)
Lineage: Eukaryota; Metazoa; Chordata; Aves; Passeriformes; Passerellidae
Description: lncRNA (ENSJHYG00000015274.1)
Source: RNAcentral
AUGGGGCCUUCCCAGGGCACAGCCAGGGACCGUCCCCUGUCCGGUGUCCCCUGUCCAGUGUCCCCUGUCCGGUGUCCCCUGUCCGGUGUCCCCUGUCCGGUGUCCCUUAUCCCAUGUCCUGAGUCCACCCCGUGUCCACCCCAGAUGUCCCUCAUGUGGGUCCAGGUGUCUGCAGCCCAUCUCUGUCCCAUGUCCAUCCCAUGUCCAUCUGUCCAGCUGUGUCCAUCCCCAUGUCCAUCUCCGUGUCCAUCUGUCCAUCCGUGCCGCGUCUGUCUGUCCACGGGUGUCCGUCUGUCCAUCUCUGCCGUGUCCGUCCGUCUGUCCUGGCGUCCAUCAGGCGGGUCCGGGCGCGGCGCCGUCGCCGUCCCUGUCCGCGGGUCCGGCCGCCCACUGCGGCCGCAGGAUGGUUCCGGUGUGGCCCUCGCGGGCCUGGGGCCGCUGCUCCCGCGGGAUGCGCACGGCCCGGAACCGCGGCACGGCCGGGGGCGGGGCGGCCGCCGCCCGCCGGAAAAAACCCAGCUGGGGAGACAGGGCACGGGGAUAUCGCGACAUGGCACCGGGCACAGCGACAUAUCGCGACAUGGCACCGGACAGUGGGAUAUAUCGCGAUAUGGCACCGGGCAGAGUGAGACAUAUCAUGAUAUGGCACCGGGCACAGUGACAUAUCGCGACAUGGCACCGGACAGAGUGAUAUAUCGCGAUAUGGCACCGGGCAGAGUGAGACAUAUCAUGAUAUGGCACAGGACACAGUGACUUAUCGCGAUAUGGCACUGGACAGACUGAGAUAUAUCGCGAUAUGGCACUGGACAGAGUGAUAUAUCGUGAUAAAGCACCAGACAGAGUGAUAUAUUAUGAUAUGGCACCGGGCACAGUGACAUAUCGUGACAUGGCACCGGACAGUGGGAUAUAUUGCGAUAUGGCACCGGGCAGACUGAGAUAUAUCACAAUAUGGCACCGGACAGAGUGAUAUAUCGUGAUAUAGCACCAGACAGUGAUAUAUUAUGAUAUGGCACCGGACAGAGUGAUAUAUCGUGAUAUAGCACCAGACAGUGAUAUAUUAUGAUAUGGCACUGGACACAGUGAGUUAUCGCGACAUGGCAUCAGGCAGUGUGGGGUAUAUCGCAAUAUGCCACCUUGUACCAUGCUGUAUCGCGAUAUGCCGCGCUCUGUGGUGCCAUAUUGCGAUAUACAACGCUGUAUUGUGCCAUAUCGUGCCGUAUCGCGAUAUGUCGUGUUCUAUCGCGCCGUAUCGUGAUAGCAGGGCGUCCCUCACCUUCCAGAGCCCCAGCACGAGCAGCGCCAGCAGCAGCAGCCCCAGCAGCACCGCCAGCGGCAGCACCCACCAGGGCACCGCGGUGACGGCCACGCCUGGGUCCAGGUGCAGGGACACCGACAUCUGCGGGGUCA